UACGUAUGGGGCAGGCGUUAUCCGGAUUUACUGGGUGUAAGGGGAGCGCAGGCGGCCUGGCAAGCCUGAUGUGAAAUACCGGGGCCCAACCCCGGGGCUGCAUUGGGAACUGCCAGGCUGGAGUGCCGGAGAGGCAGGCGGAAUUCCUAGUGUAGCGGUGAAAUGCGUAGAUAUUAGGAGGAACACCAGUGGCGAAGGCGGCCUGCUGGACGGUGACUGACGCUGAGGCUCGAAAGCGUGGGGAGCAAACAGG
RNAcentral lists this ribosomal RNA (253 nucleotides) under uncultured bacterium. RNAcentral's name for it is "partial 16S ribosomal RNA". It matches the Rfam family "Bacterial small subunit ribosomal RNA", at positions 524 to 776 of the family's 1533-position model. The record is from RNAcentral.